RNAcentral lists this transfer RNA (75 nucleotides) under bacterium ADurb.Bin212. RNAcentral describes it as "tRNA-Gly". It matches the Rfam family "tRNA". Rfam says of the family: Transfer RNA (tRNA) molecules are approximately 80 nucleotides in length. Their secondary structure includes four short double-helical elements and three loops (D, anti-codon, and T loops). The record is from RNAcentral.
GCGGGUAUAGUAUAAUGGCUAUUAUACGUCCUUGCCAUGGAUGAGAUACGGGUUCGAUUCCCGUUACCCGCUCCA